GGGCCGAUCGUCUAGUCUGGUAGGACGCUGCCUUGACAUGGCAGAGGUCAGGAGUUCAAGUCUCCUUCGGCCCA
RNAcentral lists this transfer RNA (74 nucleotides) under Thermoprotei archaeon. RNAcentral describes it as "tRNA-Val". It matches the Rfam family "tRNA". Rfam says of the family: Transfer RNA (tRNA) molecules are approximately 80 nucleotides in length. Their secondary structure includes four short double-helical elements and three loops (D, anti-codon, and T loops). Further hydrogen bonds mediate the characteristic L-shaped molecular structure. tRNAs have two regions of fundamental functional importance: the anti-codon, which is responsible for specific mRNA codon recognition, and the 3' end, to which the tRNAs corresponding amino acid is attached (by aminoacyl-tRNA synthetases). tRNAs cope with the degeneracy of the genetic code in two manners: having more than one tRNA (with a specific anti-codon) for a particular amino acid; and 'wobble' base-pairing, i.e. permitting non-standard base-pairing at the 3rd anti-codon position. Lineage: Archaea; Thermoproteati; Thermoproteota; Thermoprotei. The record is from RNAcentral. RNAcentral also lists the same sequence under 4 other names.